UGCCAGCAGCCGCGGUAAUACGAAGGGUGCUAGCGUUGUUCGGAAUUACUGGGCGUAAAGCGCACGUAGGUGGCUUGGUAAGUCGGAUGUGAAAGCCCUGGGCUCAACCUGGGAAUUGCAUUCGAUACUGCUUAGCUAGAGUAUGAGAGAGGGUAGUGGAAUUCCGCGUGUAGCAGUGAAAUGCGUAGAGAUGUGGAGGAACACCGAUGGCGAAGGCAGCCCCCUGGGUCAACACUGACGCUCAGGCACGAAAGCAUGGGGAGCAAACAGGAUUAGAUA
RNAcentral lists this ribosomal RNA (279 nucleotides) under uncultured bacterium. RNAcentral's name for it is "partial 16S ribosomal RNA". It matches the Rfam family "Bacterial small subunit ribosomal RNA", at positions 506 to 784 of the family's 1533-position model. The record is from RNAcentral.